GGCGAGAUGGCUCAGUGGGUAAGAGCACCCGACUGCUCUUCUGAAGGUCCAGAGUUCAAAUCCCAGCAACCACA
RNAcentral lists this transfer RNA (74 nucleotides) under Mus musculus (house mouse). RNAcentral's name for it is "tRNA-Ser". The record is from RNAcentral. Lineage: Eukaryota; Metazoa; Chordata; Mammalia; Rodentia; Muridae.